This 253-nucleotide ribosomal RNA is filed under the name uncultured bacterium. Its description in RNAcentral is "partial 16S ribosomal RNA". It matches the Rfam family "Bacterial small subunit ribosomal RNA", at positions 524 to 776 of the family's 1533-position model. The record is from RNAcentral.
UACGGAGGAUGCAAGCGUUAUCCGGAAUUAUUGGGCGUAAAGCGUCCGCAGGUGGUUUUUCAAGUCUGCUGUUAAAGCGCAGGGCUUAACUCUGUAACGGCGGUGGAAACUGAGAGACUGGAGGAUGGUAGGGGUAGCGGGAAUUCCCAGUGUAGCGGUGAAAUGCGUAGAGAUCGGGAAGAACAUCGGUGGCGAAAGCGCUCUACUGGACCGCAACUGACACUCAGGGACGAAAGCUAGGGGAGCGAAUGGG